This 406-nucleotide ribosomal RNA is filed under the name uncultured bacterium. RNAcentral's name for it is "partial 16S ribosomal RNA". It matches the Rfam family "Bacterial small subunit ribosomal RNA", at positions 30 to 526 of the family's 1533-position model. The record is from RNAcentral.
AUUGAACGCUGGCGGCAGGCCUAACACAUGCAAGUCGAGCGAGCGGCGGACGGGUGAGUAAUGUCUGGGAAACUGCCUGAUGGAGGGGGAUAACUACUGGAAACGGUAGCUAAUACCGCAUACCAUCAGAUGUGCCCAGAUGGGAUUAGCUAGUAGGUGGGGUAACGGCUCACCUAGGCGACGAUCCCUAGCUGGUCUGAGAGUAUGACCAGCCAUACUGGAACGUAGACAAGGUCCAGACUCCGACGGGAGGCAGCAGUGGGGAAUAUUGCACAAUGGGCGCAAGCCUGAUGCAGCCAUGCCGCGUGUAUGAAGAAGGCGUUCGGGGUGUAAAGUACUUUCAGCGGGGAGGCGUUACCCGCAGAAGAAGCACCGGCUAACUCCGUGCCAGCAGCCGCGGUAAUAC